CCUACGGGUGGCAGCAGUGAGGAAUAUUGGUCAAUGGGCGGAAGCCUGAACCAGCCAAGUAGCGUGCAGGAUGACGGCCCUACGGGUUGUAAACUGCUUUUAUACGGGAAUAACGCGCCUUACGUGUAGGGCUUUGCAUGUACCGUAUGAAUAAGGACCGGCUAAUUCCGUGCCAGCAGCCGCGGUAAUACGGAGGGUCCGGGCGUUAUCCGGAUUUAUUGGGUUUAAAGGGAGCGUAGGCGGCAUGUCAAGCGUGCUGUGAAAUGUCCGGGCUCAACCCGGGCCUUGCAGCGCAGACUGGCGAGCUUGAGUCCGCGGGAGGCAGGUGGAAUUCGUCGUGUAGCGGUGAAAUGCUUAGAUAUGACGAAGAACACCGAUGGCGAAGGCAGCUUGCUGGAGCGGAACUGACGCUGAUGCUCGAAAGCGUGGGUAGCGAACAGGAUUAGAUACCCCAGUAGUC
Molecule: ribosomal RNA, 460 nt
Filed under: uncultured bacterium
Lineage: Bacteria
Description: partial 16S ribosomal RNA
Rfam family: Bacterial small subunit ribosomal RNA
Source: RNAcentral